AACGCGAAGAACCUUACCAAGUCUUGACAUACUGUGAAGACACAAGAGAUUGUGUUGUUCUGACCUUUGGUUAGACACAGAUACAGGUGGUGCAUGGUUGUCGUCAGCUCGUGUCGUGAGAUGUUGGGUUAAGUCCCGCAACGAGCGCAACCCUUAUAUCUAGUUGCCAGCAGUAAGAUGGGGACUCUAGAUAGACUGCCAGUGAUAAACUGGAGGAAGGUGGGGAUGACGUCAAAUCAUCAUGCCCCUUAUGACUUGGGCUACACACGUGCUACAAUGGAUAGGAACAAAGAGAAGCGAGCUCGCGAGAGUAAGCAAACCUCACAAAACUAUUCUCAGUUCGGAUUGUAGUCUGCAACUCGACUACAUGAAGCUGGAAUCGCUAGUAAUCGCAGAUCAGCAACGCUGCGGUGAAUACGUUCCCGGGUCUUGUACACACCG
Molecule: ribosomal RNA, 441 nt
Filed under: uncultured Gemella sp.
Lineage: Bacteria; Bacillati; Bacillota; Bacilli; Caryophanales; Gemellaceae
Description: bacterial SSU rRNA
Rfam family: Bacterial small subunit ribosomal RNA
Source: RNAcentral